Molecule: long non-coding RNA, 720 nt
Organism: Solanum lycopersicum (tomato)
Lineage: Eukaryota; Viridiplantae; Streptophyta; Magnoliopsida; Solanales; Solanaceae
Source: RefSeq, a predicted model, not a curated record
CCUAAUUUCUCAUUCUUCUUCUUUUUAGAUCCGCCGCACGCCACUAUCUUCUCUUCCUCUUCUCUUCUUUAUCCGCCAUUUUCUAUGAGAAUAAGAGGAGAUGUCAUUCUCCUCUCCUCUCCGCCCCUCUUCCGCGUCUCAAUAGUCGCCCUACUCCAUUCCCUCUCCGCCAGCACUAGCAGCUGCUCUUCCUCUCUUCUGCAGCGCUGCCGCUCCAGUGGACAACAGAUCCGCUUGGCAAGCCACCAAGAACCAACGACUCCAAACAGCAGCAGUCGGUGACAGCAACCAGCAGCAGCCGUGACAGCAACAGGCGAUGAACCACCAACAUUUGCUCGAUAGAAAAAAAAAUAAUAGCGACACAAAAGGCUGCUCCGACCAGCAAGUUAUUGGAUAAAUCCAGUGUAUCUCAUUUGUUCCCAAUUACCAAGUAUCUUUGGACUAUUGGUUAUUGCAUAACAGGUUUGCACUCUUUUAUGGACGAGAGAAAACUACUGAGCUCUCAUCAAGCAUACUAUCGAGCUACCGAGAUAUAAAAGAAGAGAAGAGUAUACGGAUCUGAAACAAAAACAUACUACAUGAAGCAAAUGUUCCUCUUAAGAAUAAUUGAUAUGUUUCUUUUCAUAUUUUGCAUCGGAAGUAUAUGAUUUUGACUUUCUAUCUACAGAUUUUGAACACACAUAAUAUUAUUUUAUACAAAUGUUUGUUAUCGUAGAGGUA